Molecule: non-coding RNA, 103 nt
Organism: Podarcis lilfordi (Lilford's wall lizard)
Lineage: Eukaryota; Metazoa; Chordata; Lepidosauria; Squamata; Lacertidae
Source: the annotation of a GenBank genome assembly
ACCUUAGAGACCAACUAGGUUUGUUCUUGGUAUAAGCUUUUGUGUGCAUGCACACUCAACAUGAAAGCUUAUACCAAGAACAAACUUAGUUGGUCUCUAAGGU